Molecule: ribosomal RNA, 468 nt
Filed under: uncultured bacterium
Lineage: Bacteria
Description: partial 16S ribosomal RNA
Rfam family: Bacterial small subunit ribosomal RNA
Source: RNAcentral
GACGAACGCUGGCGGCGUGCUUAACACAUGCAAGUCGAACGGAAAGGCCCUGCUUUUGUGGGGUGCUCGAGUGGCGAACGGGUGAGUAACACGUGAGUAACCUGCCCUUGACUUUGGGAUAACUUCAGGAAACUGGGGCUAAUACCGGAUAGGAGCUCCUGCUGCAUGGUGGGGGUUGGAAAGUUUCGGCGGCUGGGGAUGGACUCGCGGCUUAUCAGCUUGUUGGUGGGGUAGUGGCUUACCAAGGCUUUGACGGGUAGCCGGCCUGAGAGGGUGACCGGCCACAUUGGGACUGAGAGACGGCCCAGACUCCUACGGGAGGCAGCAGUCGGGAAUAUUGCACAAUGGGCGGAAGCCUGAUGCAGCAACGCCGCGUGCGGGAUGACGGCCUUCGGGUUGUAAACCGCUUUCGCCUGUGACGAAGCGUGAGUGACGGUAAUGGGUAAAGAAGCACCGGCUAACUACGUG